Molecule: ribosomal RNA, 497 nt
Filed under: uncultured bacterium
Lineage: Bacteria
Description: partial 16S ribosomal RNA
Rfam family: Bacterial small subunit ribosomal RNA
Source: RNAcentral
GAUGAACGCUGGCGGCGUGCCUAAUACAUGCAAGUCGAGCGAACAGACGAGGAGCUUGCUCCUCUGACGUUAGCGGCUGACGGGUGAGUAACACGUGGAUAACCUACCUAUAAGACUGGGAUAACUUCGGGAAACCGGAGCUAAUACCGGAUAAUAUAUUGAACCGCAUGGUUCAAUAGUGAAAGACGGUUUUGCUGUCACUUAUAGAUGGAUCCGCGCCGCAUUAGCUAGUUGGUGAGGUAACGGCUUACCAAGGCAACGAUGCGUAGCCGACCUGAGAGGGUGAUCGGACACACUGGAACUGAGACACGGUCCAGACUCCUACGGGAGGCAGCAGUAGGGAAUCUUCCGCAAUGGGCGAAAGCCUGACGGAGCAACGCCGCGUGAGUGAUGAAGGUCUUCGGAUCGUAAAACUCUGUUAUUAGGGAAGAACAGAUGUGUAAGUAACUAUGCACGUCUUGACGGUACCUAAUCAGAAAGCCACGGCUAACUACGUG